RNAcentral lists this ribosomal RNA (305 nucleotides) under uncultured bacterium. RNAcentral describes it as "partial 16S ribosomal RNA". It matches the Rfam family "Bacterial small subunit ribosomal RNA", at positions 505 to 807 of the family's 1533-position model. The record is from RNAcentral.
ACAGCAGUAGCCACGGGAAUACGGAGGAUCCAAGCGUUAUCCGGAAUCAUUGGGUUUAAAGGGUCCGUAGGCGGUUUAGUAAGUCAGUGGUGAAAGCCCAUCGCUCAACGGUGGAACGGCCAUUGAUACUGCUGAACUUGAAUUAUUAGGAAGUAACUAGAAUAUGUAGUGUAGCGGUGAAAUGCUUAGAGAUUACAUGGAAUACCAAUUGCGAAGGCAGGUUACUACUAAUUGAUUGACGCUGAUGGACGAAAGCGUGGGGAGCGAACAGGAUUAGAGACCCCAGUAGUCCCUGUCUCUUAUAC